AUGAUGGUAACUGCCCUGGAGUGGGAAGAUGGCCCAUCUUGUGCUCUUUUCAUGGAGGGGACCGAAUACUAUGAGUGGAUGAAUCAAAAAGUAGACAUACCAGUCAAGCAUGUGCAGACACCAAAUGCUUCUAGCUCUGAUGUGCAAAAUUCAAUCCCAUUAGUGCCAAACUUUGACAACACUCCUCAAGUUGAAAGGCCUAGCAACCUCCCAAUCGCAACAUUUGACACAGCUCCAAAGCUCCCUAGGGCAAACGACAUUCCGGGGCCUGUGUUUGAUGUGUCCCCCAUCUCAUUUAAAAACGCUUCCUCUGAUGGACCUCAAGUAGUGGAUUUGCACGAGACAAUCGAGGCGAAUGUUACGGUCAGGGGUGAGUCAAAUAGUCUUGGUAAACAGUCAAAGAAGAAAAGGGUGGCUCUCUCCCCAGACAAUCUGCCAACGAUGAAUAAGAUUAAUGUUGAUGCACACGGUGAUGCCUUACACCAUCAGUAUGUAAUGACCAGAUACAAGACAAGAAAACCAAAGAAAAAUGAGCUUCUGCCCGACUUCAUUGAAAUAGAUGGCUUCCAUACAUCUCUCAAGAAUUUUCAUGCAUCUCUAAAGCCAAGAGCGGAGAUUGACAAUGAGGUCAUGACCUUAUACCUAAAGACAUUCAACUAUGACCAGUCAGUGAAGAAGAAGCCAAAAAAUUUUGUUUUCUCAGUGUUGAUGAGUUUGAAACUCAGUGCUGAGCCAGAUGUGUUUGAUUCGAAGGUGUGCAAAAAAGAAUUUAAGAAUGCUUGCUUACAAAAUCAUAUUUCAAAAUCUGACCUCUAUUCUUCAUGGUUGUACACAAAAAGCACUGGGCAGUAG
This 852-nucleotide ribosomal RNA is filed under the name Triticum aestivum (bread wheat). RNAcentral's name for it is "partial small subunit ribosomal RNA". Lineage: Eukaryota; Viridiplantae; Streptophyta; Magnoliopsida; Poales; Poaceae. The record is from RNAcentral.